GUGGCAUUGGGUUGGACACUCCUUACCAAAGCCUGAUGUAGGUAAUGUGCAGUGUCCACAACAGAUUGUCUGAUGAAAGUCUUGAGCAAAGCGGUCACCAAAUUACGGGGUCUGGUCCCCUCCUGCUGAGGGCCCAGGACCCCCCCUUUUCCCGGGGGAACCGGGGGUCCAAUCCCCCAAGGGAACCCCGGGCCUUCCAACCUUCCCGGGAAAACCGGGGGUCUUCCUGUAAUUGGAUUUUUUAUGGCUUCCCCCUUUUCCUAAAGUUAUUACCCAUUAUCCAGGUUUUUUAUUUUUUGCUUUUUACCAUUCUGAAACAGCUUAAAUUUUGAAACAAUGGGGUAAACAUUAUUCUUCGUGAUAAACUGACAUUCUCUUAGUCUGUAUCAUAAUCGCUCCGAUAGAUGCAGAACGACACCUUCAAAGACACCUUCUAAGUGACUAGGUGAACACCUAAGAUGCCUUGGUAGAUGCCUUGGCAAAC
Molecule: unclassified non-coding RNA, 484 nt
Filed under: Brenneria goodwinii
Lineage: Bacteria; Pseudomonadati; Pseudomonadota; Gammaproteobacteria; Enterobacterales; Pectobacteriaceae
Also listed under: 1 other name
Description: partial may contain 16S ribosomal RNA, 16S-23S ribosomal RNA intergenic spacer, and 23S ribosomal RNA
Source: RNAcentral